This 253-nucleotide ribosomal RNA is filed under the name uncultured bacterium. RNAcentral describes it as "partial 16S ribosomal RNA". It matches the Rfam family "Bacterial small subunit ribosomal RNA", at positions 524 to 776 of the family's 1533-position model. The record is from RNAcentral.
UACGGAGGUGGCAAGCGUUGUUCGGAAUCACUGGGCGUAAAGGGCGCGUAGGCGGGGAGGCAAGUCGGGUGUGAAAGCCCUCGGCUCAACCGAGGAACGGCGCCCGAAACUGCUUCUCUUGAGUCCCGGAGAGGAAGGUGGAAUUCCCGGUGUAGCGGUGAAAUGUGUAGAUAUCGGGAGGAACACCGGUGGCGGAGGCGGCCUUCUGGACGGUGACUGACGCUGAGGCGCGAAAGCGUGGGGAGCAAACGGG